GAUGAACGCUGGCGGCGUGCCUAAUACAUGCAAGUCGAGCGAACAGACGAGGAGCUUGCUCCUUUGACGUUAGCGGCGGACGGGUGAGUAACACGUGGGUAACCUACCUAUAAGACUGGGAUAACUUCGGGAAACCGGAGCUAAUACCGGAUAAUAUUUCGAACCGCAUGGUUCGAUAGUGAAAGAUGGCUUUGCUAUCACUUAUAGAUGGACCUGCGCCGUAUUAGCUAGUUGGUAAGGUAACGGCUUACCAAGGCAACGAUACGUAGCCGACCUGAGAGGGUGAUCGGCCACACUGGAACUGAGACACGGUCCAGACUCCUACGGGAGGCAGCAGUAGGGAAUCUUCCGCAAUGGGCGAAAGCCUGACGGAGCAACGCCGCGUGAGUGAUGAAGGUCUUCGGAUCGUAAAACUCUGUUAUUAGGGAAGAACGAACGUGUAAGUAACUGUGCACGUCUUGACGGUACCUAAUCAGAAAGCCACGGCUAACUACGUG
This 497-nucleotide ribosomal RNA is filed under the name uncultured bacterium. RNAcentral's name for it is "partial 16S ribosomal RNA". It matches the Rfam family "Bacterial small subunit ribosomal RNA", at positions 28 to 507 of the family's 1533-position model. The record is from RNAcentral.